GACGAACGCUGGCGGCGUGCUUAACACAUGCAAGUCGAACGGAAAGGCCCUGCUUUUGUGGGGUGCUCGAGUGGCGAACGGGGGAGUAACACGUGAGUAACCUGCCCUUGACUGUGGGAUAACUUCAGGAAACUGGGGCUAAUACCGGAGAGGAGCUCCUGCUGCACGGGGGGGGUUGGAAAGUUUCGGCGGUGGGGGAUGGACUCGCGGCUUAUGAGCUUGUUGGGGGGGUAGUGGCUUACCAGGGCUUUGACGGGUAGCCGGCCUGAGAGGGUGACCGGCCACAUUGGGACUGCGAUACGGCCCAGACUCCUACGGUCGGCAGAAGUGGGGAAUAUUGCACAGUGGGCGGAAGCCUGAUGCAGCAACGCCGCGUGCGUGAUGACGGCCUUCGGGUUGUAAACCGCUUUCGCCUGUGACGAAGCGUGAGUGACGGUAAUGGGUAAAGAAGCACCGGCUAACUACGUG
RNAcentral lists this ribosomal RNA (468 nucleotides) under uncultured bacterium. RNAcentral describes it as "partial 16S ribosomal RNA". It matches the Rfam family "Bacterial small subunit ribosomal RNA", at positions 28 to 507 of the family's 1533-position model. The record is from RNAcentral.